RNAcentral lists this long non-coding RNA (2705 nucleotides) under Gossypium barbadense (sea-island cotton). Its description in RNAcentral is "long non-coding RNA (GBAR_LNC006943)". The record is from RNAcentral. Lineage: Eukaryota; Viridiplantae; Streptophyta; Magnoliopsida; Malvales; Malvaceae.
CGCCGCCCUUGUCGACCAGUUGUUUGUGUGUGUCGGUGAAUAUGUCCUUCGGGGUCUUGUUCUCCUUGUUAUAACGAGCGAAGAAGUGGAUCGGCAUGGAAUGCUUGACAAACUGAAGAAACACCCAUGGUUCAAAAAUCAAAUGUAAGUUUUUUAUUAUUACCCAUUGCUGAUUUAAACUUAUGCGAACAUAGCAAUUACCUCGUACCACUUGAUUUCCCAUUGCAUUUGUAAAGCAGCACCAGGGAUGAGCCAAGGCUUAUGGUCACCAAGCAUCGCGGCGAGGUGCAAUGCACUAUUCCCCUUCUCAUCCACCGCUCGGAAAACACUGUCUUUCAUUAUAUUUUUCUUAAGCAAGAGCUGGUAAACGUGAGGUUGCCGAUUCUCCACCGCCAGCAACACUAUGUUCUUGUUUUCCGAAUUCAUUUCAUGGAUUGCAACUGGGAAACGUUGUAGGAUUUGAUCCACCAUCUCUGUGAUUCCACUCUUUGCGGCUAUUAGUAUGGGUGUCUCUCGUUUUGCCACUUCUUUAGUUUUCUUCUUCUCUCCUGCUAGUUUAGUUAAUUUUUCCAGUGUUCAACAAAUUGAAAUCAAUAAAUUACUUUACAAGCUUGAUACAUGUGCCACUAGUAUUUUAUAUUUUACCUUCCAAAGUUUUUCCCUUGCUUUGGUCACGUUGUUUAGCUGGGUCUGAAUCAUCAAUAAGCAUUUUAAUGUCACCAUCUUCAGUGAAUUCAUAAGGCUUUAUCUCAUCGGCAUCAUAUAAUGAUAGCUGAGGUCUACAUCCAUUGUCUUCAUACUGGUAAAUAGAAACAUGUUGUAGAAGCUGAUUCAUGACCUGAACUGCCCAAGUAUGCUUCUGUUUCUUCUCCCUUAACUUCCUAAUUCUCCGUGAUCCUUAUAAACAGGCAGCAUUAAUGAAUUAUCAAAGAGAUGUUAUGAUUAGUAAGUGAGUAAAAGAGACCCGAAAUCCAGUCUAGCUCGACCUACCUAAUCCUAGUAUAACCAUCAUUGCUUUGGAUAACAGUUUGACAAAAUCAACUAAGGUAACAUAAUUGGAAGGAAAGAAUUGAUGUCCAUCUCCAUGGCGUCUUCCGUCCUCUGUACAAGUAAGUUACAAGACAAGAUUAUUUCAUUAGAUGCCUGCAAACCGCAGGGUGGUUAAACAGAGUUAAACAUGUAGAUGUUGCUGAUUUAUGGUUAUGGUACUGUUAAACAUGUGUUUUUUUGGUAAGAAUGGCUACCACAUAAUGAUAUUGAUUUAACGUUUAGUAGAGUAAUAUUAGAUGACAGCCUGUUAUCUCUUUCCUUUGUGAUUUCCUGCUGAGGUGUGUGGGUGAUUUCAAGGUGUUGGGUUUCUUAAUUUGAUCUUAUGCAUUUUGUUUUGUGGUUUCGAUGCUUUCUCCAUCAUUGAUGUUCACUAUGGACUUUUGCCUCAAUAUCAACAUAUGGCAGGCUAAACAAAUAUUUGGAGGUUUAGAAACUACAAUAGGUCCUAUUGCAUCAUAGUAUUUGGAGUCAAAAUCAGAAAAAUAUUUCUAUGCAAUGCAGCUAAUAAGUAACACAUAAGAUCCCAGUUCCUAGUUGUUUAUUUGGUGUCUAAUUUAGAUAUCCAUGUUCAAAACCCUUUGAUCUUAGGAUCAAAUUCUUAAUGUAUCCUUUCUCAUCCUGUAAUGACUAAUAGAUUCGAAUGAUUGUUAUUCCACAGAUCCAUCAGGAAAAAGAGUAGACAACGGAUUGCUCACCUUUCGGUACUGUCUCAGAGGUGACAUUAGGAGCUUCAAUAUUUUCAUCCGAACCUCCUCCUUGGUUUGUCUUCCGUGAACUUCGUUUUGUCACUGGAAAAUGUAAUAACAUUGAAGUGUCCAAAAGAUGAAAUAGGAAAUAGUAAUACUUGAAUGGAACUUAAAAAUAGCAUCCCCGAUGUCACAUUGUUCUAUUAGUCUCCUUAGCUUACCUACUUGAACCAGCUGCUUUAGUAGGUGAAAUAAGUGCAUGCAUGUUUGGUAAUUGCCAGGAUAACUAAUUCUCAUCUUUUCCUUGGAUUGACCUUUGCUUGAAGAUUGUUUGAAUGAAGUUUCCACCUUAAGCGGUUCCACAAUUAUACCUUCCAAAUAAAAAUCCAUUUGUUCACAGUAGUAAUGUUUGGUCUCUUGAAGUUACAAAUUUUAAGCUUUUGACAAUGAAAAAUAUGAAUUAUUUUCGUGUUUUAUGAAAGUUAAAACUAUCGACUAGCACUUACAAUUAUAGAUAAGAUGGCUGCAACGACCAAGAUGGCUACCGCUUCUGAAGGCAGUAGGGUUGCUAGCCAAGAGAUGCAGGGCUGAUAUCCCAUUCUCGUUUACGUAGUUGACAAGAUCUUCAUAAAGGUAAAUGAUUUGAAAUGCCAAAUCUGUGGAUCACAAUAUAGUUAAUACAAUGUAGUUUAUGCUAAUAUGUUUGAGAAAAGAGUUUGGGAAAUUCUUACCAAAAUAGUCUCCAGAUAUGGCACAGUGGAGAACAUUUUCGCCAUCCUUUCUUCUACAGUAAGAAUAGCCUUCUUCUUGGCUUUGACAGUAAGAGUUAAGACAAAGGAAAGCCUCUUUCUUGCCAUAAAGAGCUGCCAUGAAUUGCGGGGUUUCUCCGACGUUGUUUCGGAUUUCAAGCAAUGAUGAGUCUACUCGCAAUAUGCAUUGGCACAUCCUUACAUUCCCUAGUGAAGCCGC